GUCCAGACUCCUACGGGAGGCAGCAGUGAGGAAUAUUGGUCAAUGGGCUUACGCCUGAACCAGCCAAGUCGCGUGAGGGAAGACUGCCCUAUGGGUUGUAAACCUCUUUUGUCAGGGAGCAAUUGGCGCUACGUGUAGCGUUAUCGAGAGUACCUGAAGAAAAAGCAUCGGCUAACUCCGUGCCAGCAGCCGCGGUAAUACGGAGGAUGCGAGCGUUAUCCGGAUUUAUUGGGUUUAAAGGGUGCGUAGGCGGAAUGCCAGGUCAUGGGUAAAAUCGCGGGGCUCAACCCCAACCAGCCGUUGAAACUGGGGAUCUAGAGUGUGCGAGAGUUAUGCGGAAUGCGUGGUGUAGCGGUGAAAUGCAUAGAUAUCACGCAGAACCCCGAUUGCGAAGGCAGCAUACCGGUGCACAACUGACGCUCAGGCACGAAAGCGUGGGUAUCGAACAGGAUUAGAUACCCCCGUAA
This 467-nucleotide ribosomal RNA is filed under the name uncultured bacterium. Its description in RNAcentral is "bacterial SSU rRNA". It matches the Rfam family "Bacterial small subunit ribosomal RNA", at positions 329 to 793 of the family's 1533-position model. The record is from RNAcentral.